This 236-nucleotide ribosomal RNA is filed under the name uncultured bacterium. RNAcentral describes it as "partial 16S ribosomal RNA". It matches the Rfam family "Bacterial small subunit ribosomal RNA", at positions 100 to 334 of the family's 1533-position model. The record is from RNAcentral.
CGGGAUGGGUGAGUAACGCGUGGGUAACCUGCCUCAUACAGGGGGAUAACGGUUAGAAAUGACUGCUAAUACCGCAUAAGCGCACAGUACCGCAUGGUACGGUGUGAAAAACUCCGGUGGUAUGAGAUGGACCCGCGUCUGAUUAGCUGGUUGGUGAGGUAACGGCCCACCAAGGCGACGAUCAGUAGCCGACCUGAGAGGGUGACCGGCCACAUUGGGACUGAGACACGGCCCAG